Long non-coding RNA from Phyllostomus discolor (pale spear-nosed bat), 688 nucleotides. RefSeq lists it as uncharacterized. Lineage: Eukaryota; Metazoa; Chordata; Mammalia; Chiroptera; Phyllostomidae. The transcript has 2 exons. The record is from RefSeq and is a predicted model, not a curated record.
UGGCCCGUCUCCCGGAGCUGCCGGACGCUGAACUUACUGGGCAUCGCGGCGGCGGUGCGGCCCAAGCAAGAGGGUCCGUGGAAAUGAAACUGAAACUCGGAGCCGCGGCAGGAAGUUAGCGGCCCUAGGAUGAAGGAAUUCCCUGCAGGAGGUCACACAGUCUAACCUAGUGAGGAAGGUGCAGACCCCAGGUGGUGCUCCAGCUGGGCUACCCUUGUACCGUUUCCAGGCCAAGGGCCAACUACAGCCAGGAACAACAGACUGUAGCAAGAGGAAAUGCAGUCAGUGGGACCCAAAGCUACAGGAUGGGGCAAGCAGAGCGGGGGAGAACGUUGCCUUAAAAAUUGAUUAUCCACAGUAGAGGGGAAAACUGGGAAAGUAGCCAAGGAUUUUUACCUUUUUCUCCCCCAAACACCCGGCAAGGCCUGGGAGUAAUAGAGUGUACUCUUCUGAAAUGCGUUGUUACCAUUUCAAGAACCUACCGCCUACCUUACCCAAAGCGAAUGUCUGGUUGCAUUUUGGUCAGCAAGUCAGCGAUGUCCCCGUUAUUGGACACAUACCCUCGUCCCUGUCUGGUUAGGCUUGUUUCCUGAACGUUCUCAGAACCUGAACAGCCAUAGUCUAGUCAAAACAGGUAGAAGGGUGGUGUGGCUUUGCUUACAAUGGAACCUCUUUAGACCUCCUCUGG